UACGGAGGGGGUUAGCGUUGUUCGGAAUUACUGGGCGUAAAGCGCACGUAGGCGGAUUAUUAAGUGAGGGGUGAAAUCCCGGGGCUCAACCCCGGAACUGCCUCUCAUACUGGUAGUCUAGAGUUCGAGAGAGGUGAGUGGAAUUCCGAGUGUAGAGGUGAAAUUCGUAGAUAUUUGGAGGAACACCAAUGGCGAAGGCGGCUCACUGGCUCGAUACUGACGCUGAGGUGCGAAAGUGUGGGGAGCAAACAGG
This 253-nucleotide ribosomal RNA is filed under the name uncultured bacterium. RNAcentral's name for it is "partial 16S ribosomal RNA". It matches the Rfam family "Bacterial small subunit ribosomal RNA", at positions 524 to 776 of the family's 1533-position model. The record is from RNAcentral.